AAGCUGUCGUCCUUAUUAACAGCCUAUCAUUUGGUCGUGGACUGUUUUAAGGACUAAUCGAUAAAUCCUCUCUUUAUCGAAUCUAAAUAGUCCUAAGGACUUCAUCAUAACAAUGGAGUUCAUUAGAAGAUGAAAGCUUAUGAUGAAAAUACCAAAUAUAUUUUAUUUAUUAACAAAUCAAUUACAAUACUUGGUUGCUCAACCGUCAAUAGCUUGACGAUUGAUUUUUUGGGACACAUUUCCCAACAACUCCCACUUGUCCUAAAGCCACUCGGCACAGUAUCUAAUACCCAUCUU
This 297-nucleotide long non-coding RNA is filed under the name Elaeis guineensis (African oil palm). RNAcentral describes it as "long non-coding RNA (EGUI_LNC068595)". The record is from RNAcentral. Lineage: Eukaryota; Viridiplantae; Streptophyta; Magnoliopsida; Arecales; Arecaceae.